RNAcentral lists this ribosomal RNA (327 nucleotides) under uncultured eukaryote. RNAcentral's name for it is "partial 18S ribosomal RNA". It matches the Rfam family "Eukaryotic small subunit ribosomal RNA", at positions 1470 to 1796 of the family's 1831-position model. The record is from RNAcentral.
CCCUUAGAUGUUCUGGGCCGCACGCGCGCUACACUGAUUCAUGCAACAAGUUUUGUCCUUGGCUGAUAGACCUGGGUAAUCUUUGAACGUGAAUCGUGAUGGGGAUAGAUGAUUGCAAUUAUUCAUCUUCAACGAGGAAUUCCUAGUAAACGCAAGUCAUCAGCUUGCAUUGAUUACGUCCCUGCCCUUUGUACACACCGCCCGUCGCACCUACCGAUUGAAUGGUCCGGCGAAAUCUUCGGAUCUGAGAGAUGUCUGAUUAAUUUCGGACGCCUUUUGGAAAAGUUGUUUAAACCUUACCAUUUAGAGGAAGGUGAAGUCGUAACA